GUGUUUAAUAAACUUUUACUUUGGAUAUUAUAUUUGGACAAAAGAAACUGUAGAUCCAUUUAAGACUUGACAUUGUACUUGAUCAACGGAUUGAAGUCCUGUUUUGCUGGCAGCGUCAAAGGCAGUAAAAAUUUGUUUCUGAUGGAACAUCCAAAUUCCCAGUUCCAGACAAGAAGCUACUGGUGCUUUAUGUGAUAUGUUCAUGACCUUAUAAUGAAUAUCCGUCUGAAAAAUCCAAAUGGUUGAGUCUAGCCUUCCAAUGCCCUGUAGAUCUGUUUAAGAUAAAAUGCUUUUAUGUUUUUGAUGUCUCUAAAACGUUGUGAUUUUAAACUUCUUUAUCAUUAAUAAGUAACUGCAUUUAUGAAGCUUUGGCGGAUUUGGUUAUUAUGUUUUUUAUUUUGUAGGUGGAAAUAAGGCGGUGAAGGGUAAAAAACGGAAGGUUGAAGAUGAAGUUGAUGACAUUGAAGAAGUUUCAAGUGAUUCAGAGGAUGUGGAUGAAAGCGAUGAAGAUUGGACUGCUUGAGCUUAUGAUCUGGAUUACAGGGAUGAUGCCACAAUUUCAAGCAAGUGAAGUGAUGCUAUUUUCCCUCCUAAAAUUGUUGAUGUGAUGACUGAAGAAGGUUGACACUCUCGCGCACACAGUCCAUGCAGGAGAUAUAUCAUUGUGAUAUGGUGAAGAAAGAAUGGAAAUGAUUUACAGAAAAGAAAUAGAGAUGCAUGGAAGAUGAACGAAGGGAGUUUUAUUGUAGAGAAUUAAAUC
Long non-coding RNA from Neltuma alba, 760 nucleotides. RefSeq lists it as uncharacterized. NCBI's taxonomy places the organism in Eukaryota, Viridiplantae, Streptophyta, Magnoliopsida, Fabales, Fabaceae. The record is from RefSeq and is a predicted model, not a curated record. The transcript is spliced from 3 exons.